Molecule: ribosomal RNA, 549 nt
Filed under: Triticum aestivum (bread wheat)
Lineage: Eukaryota; Viridiplantae; Streptophyta; Magnoliopsida; Poales; Poaceae
Description: partial small subunit ribosomal RNA
Source: RNAcentral
AUGUCCCAUUAUCCAUUCGAUCGUAGUUUUCACCCUGGGAUGAGCACCACUCUUCUGAGUCUAGUUACCGAUUUCAGGAUGGACAAUAGGAUAGUUCCAUGGGACGAACUCACCGGUAGUGACACCAUAAUGAAUGAGUUGGCUCACCAAUUACGUAGGUCUGGGUGGCCUGAAAGGACCUAUGAGGAGGUACGUCAAGAACUUCUUAGGUUGCAUGAAAGGUGGAAGAAGGUAGUGGAGCCGAAGAGUGAAACUUUCAGAAGGACUGCAGCAAAGAAUACAUUUUUAUGGACUGAGGAGAGCGAGGACGACGAAGAUGUCUUCAUGCCGCCGCUUCCGGGUUCUGCAUCGUCGAAGGGCAAGAGUUCUGCAUCGUCCAAAGGCAAGACUUCUGCAUCCUCGAAGGGCAAGAGUUCUGCAUCCAGCAAGGGCAAGAGUUCUGCAUCCAGCAAGGGCAAGAGUUCUGCAUCGACGGAGGGCAAGAGGACCGCAUCGUCGAAGGGCAAGAGGGUUGCAUCAACAGAGGAUGACGAUGAUGACUUCAUGUAG